AGUAGAAUGGCUGAGAUGAAUAUUAAGUGAUAGAUUGUAAAUCUAUUAAGGGGAAUAUUUCCCUUCUACUA
RNAcentral lists this transfer RNA (71 nucleotides) under Cosmozosteria sp. B117. RNAcentral describes it as "tRNA-Tyr". Lineage: Eukaryota; Metazoa; Arthropoda; Insecta; Blattodea; Blattidae. The record is from RNAcentral.